This 250-nucleotide ribosomal RNA is filed under the name uncultured prokaryote. RNAcentral describes it as "partial 16S ribosomal RNA". It matches the Rfam family "Bacterial small subunit ribosomal RNA", at positions 524 to 773 of the family's 1533-position model. The record is from RNAcentral.
UACGUAGGGAGCAAGCGUUAUCCGGAAUUAUUGGGUGUAAAGGGUGCGUAGACGGGAGUUUAAGUUGGUUGUGAAAUCCCUCGGCUCAACUGAGGAACUGCAACCAAAACUGAACUUCUUGAGUGCAGGAGAAGAAAGCGGAAUUCCUAGUGUAGCGGUGAAAUGCGUAGAUAUUAGGAGGAACACCGGUGGCGAAGGCGGCUUUCUGGACUGUAACUGACGUUGAGGCACGAAAGUGUGGGGAGCAAAC